UUCUCUCUUCUCCCUCUCUCCUCCCGAUUCUUCCUCCAACCCCCCGACCUUUCCUCCUUCUUCUUGACGCCACGGCUACCACACUUGGAACUGAUCUCCGCCGUUGGUACCAAACGAGCCACCACUCGGCCACCGACGUUUCUUGACCCUUCGCCGGAGUUGCCGUAGCCGGAUCUGGCCGGAAAACUCCAUUUUCGCCGGAUUUCCAGUUCAAACUUCCAGCUCGAUUUUCUCCUUCAAUUCUCCACCAAAUCGAUCGAGUAAGGCACCAGGAGUCUAGCAGAUCCACAGGAGGGACCUUCAAAGGGUCCAGCUAGCUCGGACCAGCUGCAGUAGACGUGCACAGGAAUCCACCACUCGGGCCAUCAUCCUAGUUUCCGACCCACCACCAAAGUGUAGGAACUCGUGUAACUUUCUUGGAUCUGUAAAUAUGUAUAGAAAUGCUCUGAUAUUUUGUUGAACUUGAGAAACUGAAGUUGAGAUUUGUUGGAUGUAUUAAUCUGGCAGUUGGUGUGUUAGUUAGAACUGUUUGACAGGUGGAAGAAUUGGG
This is a long non-coding RNA of Prunus dulcis (almond), 550 nucleotides long. RefSeq lists it as uncharacterized. Lineage: Eukaryota; Viridiplantae; Streptophyta; Magnoliopsida; Rosales; Rosaceae. The transcript has 3 exons. The record is from RefSeq and is a predicted model, not a curated record.